AAAUGCGGGAAGCAGGGUGAUCCUAUGCUGCCAAGAAAAUCUUCUAGCGAGGUUCGAGCCGCCCGUACCCCAAACCGACUCAGGUGGUUAGGUAGAGAAUACCAAGGCGAUCGAGUGAAUCGUGGUUAAGGAAUUCGGCAAAAUGCCCCCGUAACUUCGGGAGAAGGGGGGCCCAGACUCUGAAGUCACUUGCUGACUAGGGGAAAGGGCCGCAGAGACCAGGGAGAAGCGACUGUUUACUAAAAACACAGGUCCGUGCGAAGUCGCAAGACGAUGUAUACGGACUGACGCCUGCCCGGUGCUGGAAGGUUAAGAGGACGGGUUAGAUCUUCGGGUCGAAGCUCAGAAUUUAAGCCCCAGUAAACGGCGGUGGUAACUAUAACCAUCCUAAGGUAGCGAAAUUCCUUGUCGGGUAAGUUCCGACCUGCACGAAUGGCGUAACGACUUCUCCACUGUCUCAACCGCGAACUCGGCGAAAUUGCACUACGAGUAAAGAUGCUCGUUACGCGCAGCAGGACGGAAAGACCCCGGGACCUUCACUAUAGCUUGGUAUUGGUGUUCGGGACGGCUUGUGUAGCAUAGGUGGGAGACUUUGAAGCCGGCACGCCAGUGUCGGUGGAGUCAACGUUGAAAUACCACUCUGGUCGUUCUGGAUGUCUAACCUCGGUCCGUGAUCCGGAUCAGGGACAGUGCCUGGUGGGUAGUUUAACUGGGGCGGUUGCCUCCUAAAAGGUAACGGAGGCGCUCAAAGGUUCCCUCAGCCUGGUUGGCAAUCAGGUGUCGAGUGUAAGUGCACAAGGGAGCUUGACUGCGAGAGAGACAUCUCGAGCAGGGACGAAAGUCGGAACUAGUGACCCGGCGGUGGCUUGUGGAAGCGCCGUCGCUCAACGGAUAAAAGGUACCCCGGGGAUAACAGGCUGAUCUUGCCCAAGAGUCCAUAUCGACGGCAUGGUUUGGCACCUCGAUGUCGGCUCGUCGCAUCCUGGGGGUGGAGUCGCUCCCAAGGGUUGGGCUGUUCGCCCAUUAAAGCGGUACGCGAGCUGGGUUUAGAACGUCGUGAGACAGUUCGGUCCCUAUCCGCUGUGCGCGUAGGAAACUUGAGAAAGGCUGACCCUAGUACGAGAGGACCGGGUUGGACGAACCUCUGGUGUGUCAGUUGUUCUGCCAAGAGCACCGCUGAUUAGCUACGUUCGGAAGUGAUAACCGCUGAAGGCAUCUAAGCGGGAAGCACGUUUCAAGAUGAGGUUUCCAUGGGGCUUGCCCCGAGAGGCUCCCGGCUAGACUACCGGGUUGAUAAGCCAGACGUGGAAGUGCAGUAAUGCAUGUAGCUGACUGGUACUAAUAAGCCGAUAACUUGAC
This 1359-nucleotide ribosomal RNA is filed under the name metagenome. RNAcentral's name for it is "bacterial LSU rRNA". It matches the Rfam family "Bacterial large subunit ribosomal RNA", at positions 1578 to 2925 of the family's 2925-position model. The record is from RNAcentral.